RNAcentral lists this transfer RNA (76 nucleotides) under Mugilogobius abei (Abe's mangrove goby). Its description in RNAcentral is "tRNA-Thr". It matches the Rfam family "tRNA". Rfam says of the family: Transfer RNA (tRNA) molecules are approximately 80 nucleotides in length. Their secondary structure includes four short double-helical elements and three loops (D, anti-codon, and T loops). Lineage: Eukaryota; Metazoa; Chordata; Actinopteri; Gobiiformes; Gobiidae. The record is from RNAcentral.
GCAUUAGUAGCUCAGCGCCAGAGCGCCGGUCUUGUAAACCGGCCGCCGGAGGUUAAAAUCCUCCCUACUGCCCGCU